RNAcentral lists this long non-coding RNA (194 nucleotides) under Monodelphis domestica (gray short-tailed opossum). RNAcentral's name for it is "lncRNA (ENSMODG00000049651.1)". The record is from RNAcentral. Lineage: Eukaryota; Metazoa; Chordata; Mammalia; Didelphimorphia; Didelphidae.
GGGAUACAAGUUUAGAAGCCUGAAGUUGUCUCUGAACUGACAGGAAAAUGUGGGGAAGUCCUUCUUACUACCAGGUUCCUGUGAAUCCACCUCCUGUCUAGAGAAAUCAUAAAGGAAUAAGUCUCUAUGGUGGCAAAGAACUGAAAAUUGAAGAGAUACUCAUCAAUUGGAGAAUGGCUACACAAAUUAUUGCA